Molecule: unclassified non-coding RNA, 234 nt
Filed under: Hevea brasiliensis (rubber tree)
Lineage: Eukaryota; Viridiplantae; Streptophyta; Magnoliopsida; Malpighiales; Euphorbiaceae
Source: RNAcentral
AAAUAAUUAAAGAGACAACUCAUAAUACAUAAUUAUUAGGGAAUUGUCAUUCAAUUAAUUGGAAUUCCCAAAUCUCAUCACACACGAAAACCAAACCAAGAACAUAACAGAUGCAGAUCCGAUUGUAUCAUGAUUCAUAACAAGAAACACAGAUUUAGCCUUAGGGACCAACGAAAACAUGAUCUGCCAAGUAAUACAAAGAUAAUUAUUAUAAUUGAGGGUAUAAAAAUGAAG